GACGAACGCUGGCGGCGUGCUUAACACAUGCAAGUCGAGCGGUAAGGCCCUUUUGGGGGUACACGAGCGGCGAACGGGUGAGUAACACGUGGGUGACCUGCCCUCAGCUCUGGGAUAAGCCUGGGAAACUGGGUCUAAUACUGGAUAUGACCUUUCCUCGCAUGGGGGUUGGGUGGAAAGUUUUUCGGCUGGGGAUGGGCCCGCGGCCUAUCAGCUUGUUGGUGGGGUGAUGGCCUACCAAGGGCGACGACGGGUAGCCGGCCUGAGAGGGCGACCGGCCACACUGGGACUGAGACACGGCCCAGACUCCUACGGGAGGCAGCAGUGGGGAAUAUUGCGCAAUGGGCGGAAGCCUGACGCAGCGACGCCGCGUGGGGGAUGACGGCC
RNAcentral lists this ribosomal RNA (387 nucleotides) under uncultured bacterium. RNAcentral's name for it is "bacterial SSU rRNA". It matches the Rfam family "Bacterial small subunit ribosomal RNA", at positions 28 to 416 of the family's 1533-position model. The record is from RNAcentral.